UGGGGAAUCUUGCGCAAUGGGCGAAAGCCUGACGCAGCAACGCCGCGUGAGCGAAGACGGCCUUCGGGUUGUAAAGCUCUGUCAGGAGGGACGAAGCCACUCAGGUGAAUAGCCGAGAGGGUGACGGUACCUCCAGAGGAAGCCCCGGCUAACUACGUGCCAGCAGCCGCGGUAAUACGUAGGGGGCAAGCGUUGUCCGGAAGCAUUGGGCGUAAAGCGCGUGUAGGCGGCCAUCCAAGUCUGAUGUGAAAGCUCGGGGCUCAACCCCGAGUCUGCAUGGGAAACUGGCUGGCUUGAGUCCGGAAGAGGAGACUGGAAUUCCUGGUGUAGCGGUGAAAUGCGCAGAUAUCAGGAAGAACACCGGUGGCGAAGGCGGGUCUCUGGGACGGUACUGACGCUGAGACGCGAAAGCGUGGGGAGCAAACA
RNAcentral lists this ribosomal RNA (426 nucleotides) under uncultured prokaryote. RNAcentral describes it as "bacterial SSU rRNA". It matches the Rfam family "Bacterial small subunit ribosomal RNA", at positions 355 to 774 of the family's 1533-position model. The record is from RNAcentral.